Molecule: ribosomal RNA, 345 nt
Filed under: Triticum aestivum (bread wheat)
Lineage: Eukaryota; Viridiplantae; Streptophyta; Magnoliopsida; Poales; Poaceae
Description: partial small subunit ribosomal RNA
Source: RNAcentral
AUGCACCCCCCAAGAUCAACGGUGGCUACCGACGAGGCGAUGAUAAACAUGAUCAACAACGGCGGCAUCCACGUGGACAGGCAAGUCGAUGACAACUACUCACCACAAUUGGAGCAAGAUACGCCAAUAGACACCCAACAAUUAUAUGUACCCAACGUAGACGCAAAUAAGAAGAGGGGUUUGUCGUACUCAAGCAAGAGGAUGAAUUGUUGUCUUUGGCAUGGGUGGGUACAAGUGUUGAUCCCUUCAAGGCACGGAGCAAAAAAGGCUCGGCUUUUUGGCAAAGUGUGCACGAUUGGUUUCAUGAGAAAAAGCAAUGUACCUCCACAACAAGGAAGUGAUUAA